RNAcentral lists this ribosomal RNA (362 nucleotides) under uncultured Rhodococcus sp. RNAcentral's name for it is "bacterial SSU rRNA". It matches the Rfam family "Bacterial small subunit ribosomal RNA", at positions 1023 to 1382 of the family's 1533-position model. The record is from RNAcentral. Lineage: Bacteria; Bacillati; Actinomycetota; Actinomycetes; Mycobacteriales; Nocardiaceae.
GUGGUCGGUGUACAGGUGGUGCAUGGCUGUCGUCAGCUCGUGUCGUGAGAUGUUGGGUUAAGUCCCGCAACGAGCGCAACCUUGUCUUAUGUUGCCAGCACGUAAUGGUGGGGACGUCGUAAGAGACUGCCGGGGUCGAACUCGGAGGAAGGUGGGGACGACGUCAAGUCAUCAUGCCCCUUAUGUCCAGGGCUUCACACAUGCUACAAUGGCCAGUACAGAGGGCUGCGAGACCGUGAGGUGGAGCGAAUCCCUUAAAGCUGGUCUCAGUUCGGAUCGGGGUCUGCAACUCGACCCCGUGAAGUCGGAGUCGCUAGUAAUCGCAGAUCAGCAACGCUGCGGUGAAUACGUUCCCGGGCCUU